GGGGGUUUAGCUCAGUUGGUAGAGCGUUCGCUUAGCAUUUUCAGAGGUGUCUAAUCUGCGAAAGGUCGCGUGUUCGACUCAUGCAGUCUCCA
This 92-nucleotide transfer RNA is filed under the name Sporisorium scitamineum. RNAcentral's name for it is "transfer RNA-Ala(AGC)". It matches the Rfam family "tRNA". Rfam says of the family: Transfer RNA (tRNA) molecules are approximately 80 nucleotides in length. Lineage: Eukaryota; Fungi; Basidiomycota; Ustilaginomycetes; Ustilaginales; Ustilaginaceae. The record is from RNAcentral.